This is a long non-coding RNA of Macadamia integrifolia, 3796 nucleotides long. RefSeq lists it as uncharacterized. The transcript has 2 exons. NCBI's taxonomy places the organism in Eukaryota, Viridiplantae, Streptophyta, Magnoliopsida, Proteales, Proteaceae. The record is from RefSeq and is a predicted model, not a curated record.
AAUUGCCUUCGUUCCUCUUCCUCUCCAUCAAAUUUCUUCCGUGCCAAGCCGAUCGGCUACGAAGACUGCGAUGACCGCUCCAAUUUUCUGCGAUCCUUUUCCCGAAACGAAACCCUUCAAUGAAAGCCAAGUGCUUCAAACGGAGCUAUGAGCCGCUGUUAUUUUGACGGGUUUGGUUUUGGGGCAACGAUCUCUACUGUUUUCGCCGCUAUCAAUCUGUAUCGAUUGCUGCAGCUUCUGAAGAAGAAUGGAUGGAUGGAAUAGGGUUCUUACUUCACACUCAAUGAUAGCAACGAUGGACAUUCUUGUGCGGACAAUAUGAUAUUCAUCACCAAGGUUAUAUCAUAGCUUUUUUACAGUGAUUUUCUGCAAUUUCCAGGAUUUUGUCUCUAAGAAUAUGUAUUUGAAAUGAUUUAUUGGAUUGAACUUUGUGGAUUAGGAUCGUCUACCCUAAUUUUUUUCGCCAGAGCUUUCGAAUGUUGUGCCUAGUUGAGUAGAGUGUUUCAUUAAAUGGCCGUGUUGUUAAAUUGGUUUAGUCUCUUGAUUACAUCAGAUGUAUGUGAAGUUUCUACGAGUUUUUAUGUACAUAUUAAAUCUACAACUAGUUUUUAAGCAAUGAGUUUGCAAAGCCUGAUUACAUAACCUAGAUUCAUGGUAUUUGAAGUAUGUUACUGAAUUUUCUUGUUUUUGGUGGCCAACAAGAUACGGAAACAUGUUACCAUCUGUAGCUGGAAUCACCAGAACUUCAGAUAUGUAGCUUUUAUCCUAAAAACCUCUGCUUGAAUUCCUCCACUAGGGAUUUCCCCUUGAAUUGUCCUGAGCUGGAUGCACCCAUUAAAUCCCUUAUGGAGAUCUCCUUAUAGUCUUACUUCUGGGUUGCAUCAACUAACAUCAUUACUUGCUGUUUUUUCUCAUCAUUAUCUUUGCAACCUACCAUAAAAUUGCAUGAAUUCUAUGAAAUACAUCAUCCUCAUGCGAAGGACAAAGCAAGUGCUUGAUGUGUUGUUCAAAAGUUAUUUGGGUUUCAUCACCAUGUGGAGUGACUCCUUUGUGGCCAUGUGCAAGUAAGUAUAUAAGAAGCUUUCUGUCAAAAUCAUCCUCUGAAUGCUGAAGCACCAUAAUUCCUCCUGUCAGUCUGUCACCCAUGUGAGAACUGAUUGAUCUAUUUCACUAGAAUAACCCUAACACUUCCCAAUGCAUUGUUAGAAUUGCAAUUCCUUUGCUGUUCAACUCCUAAUUGGAUUACAGAUCAGCUUAGUCCAACCGUUUUGACUGCCAUCUUGAGUUUGAACUCAAGAAAAUUGAGAAUGCCACUACUUUAAGAGUUCUUUUAGCACUAGAAAGAGAUAUAAGAUAAAGUUUACCUAAAACAGAUCACUGGUUUGCCCAUCAAACUGUAGGAUAAUAGACCAUCCCUGACACCAUAACAAUAAAUUUCCAUUACCAAAAAUCACUCUACAUUUGUUUGGGGAUACAGCCCUAUUUAUAAAGACCAAGUUGACUAACUUUAGAAUUCUUAAACCUCAUAAAUAAAUAACCCUCUGAUUUAUAUAAACAGACUGUCUUUGGAAAACUUAAUCAAGAAGUAAAUUUAAAUAAAUGACCCAGCUUGGCCCCACCAAUGAAGAACUCUGAUAUAUAUAUAUAUAUAUAUAUAUUGUCACUCCCCUACACUGACACUUGGACUUUAUAUUUGAGCCCAUUACAAUAGAAACCUAUAAUAUAAAAAAGCCUACUUAAUACAAGACCCAAACCAAGACUUGUAUAAGCUUAACAAAACAAUUUUCAGAAAGAUUUCCAUUGUAAUUUUCCAUGAAAAGAAAAUACAUUUACAAGGAAACCAUGAUCAUCUCUUCAAAAUUGUCUUAUUGAUCAGAUUAAGGUUUUUGGUAGGAGAACCUAUAAAGAGCCCUACAGUAACAUGAGGUUUCUGGUAUGUUAUGAAGGAUGACAAUUAUCAAUUCUAACAGGAUCUCUCUCUUCACUGGAUUUGUAACAUGAAAAGACACACAUGAUCCUCAAUUGGCAGAUUGACUUUUUUUUUUUUUUGGGGGGGGGGGGGGGAAGGGGGGCAUAGCAAAAUAAUUAACCAGGCCAUCACAUCGCAGGCAAUUGCUUUCUAUUGUACUUUUCAUGCUGCAUUAUGCGCCCAUACCAAAAACUCCCAUUUCCUAGUGUUAUGUUUCUCUAUUUUGGUUUAGUGUUAAGUCUUUUUCUCGUAGUGGUAAGCUCAACGGAUGUGUCAGGUUGUCAACCAGUACUCCAAAACCUUAGUCAAACCUCGCUAAAGAUGUUUGCUUUGCCUUACUGGAAUUUUCUAAAUAUCAUCUUUCUCAAAAUGAAAAAUGAAGAAUUUGGUCACUAAUAUGACUUUCCCUAACUUCAUUUCCUUCAAGAUUAGCUUAUCAAAGAAGCGGUGCUCUUUAUUAUUCAUUCUCUUGAAUUGUAUUAGAUAUUGCUUCCUUUAAUUAUUCCCUUGUAUAUUUUUUAAAGUUUUCUGUGGUUUUUGGUGGGGCUAACAAAGGUAUCUGUUUUCUUAAAGUUCUCUCUCUAUGUGUAUAUUAUAUAUCUAUCUUUUCUUUGACAACUGUAAGUACUCUUCUUUCCAUUUCAGGAACAAAAGAAUCUUAUAGGACAAGUUAUAUGUAAAUCUAUCUUUGACAACUGAAAGUACUCUUCUUUCCAUUGUAGGAACAAAAAGAAUCUUAUAGGACAAGUUAUAUGUAAAUCUAUCUUUGACAGCUGAAAGUACUCUUCUUUCCAUUGUAGGAACAAAAAGAAUCUUAUAGAACAAGUUACAUGCAAAGCCCGAGGUUGCAUGGCUUUCUUCAUGUUCCAAGGAAAUAUUUAUUAAGAUCUUUCCACUUUUUCAACCUCACACAAAUGUUGAACGCCUUGACCCACUCUUACUCUCCUUAAUCAUAUCCAAUUUGGAGAGGUUUCAGCCGUUGCAUGUGUAUUAGAAGCUAGUGAAAUUCAGUUCUACCAUCUCAGCUCCAGCAGCUGGUUCGUUAAAGACAGACAUAUUGCAAUCAAUUACAGUACUUUUCUGUUGUAAUAAUCCUCAUUACAAUAAGAUUCCCUAGUUAGACCCUUUCCUGUAACAUGUCUGACUCUUACAAUCAUGUUCCUGAUUUUCACUCUCCCCAGUUAGAUCAUCACAAUAGCGAGAUCAGCUAUUGAAAGACCAUUAAAACUCUUAAGCCUUUCUUUCAUCAAAGGUCCCUGGCAUGUACUUCUACAUUUAUUUUCCAUGGCAAUACGAGAUCCACCAUUGUAGGCCACGAAACUAUAUUCCUUGUGUUAUCCUUGAUCCCAUCCCUUACUGUACAGGAUUGUAAAUAUCCUUUCCCAUGCUAAUCAAAAGGUUCAGAUAUCCAUGGUUAGGGGAUUCUCUAUUCACCAUGGGAGAAAAGAAACUGGGCUGAGCUGCAAAAUUUUAGCUAUAUAUAUAUGUAGUGAUCGCAUUGUUUGCUUCGAAUGAUAUAGGUAUAAUUGGAGUUUAAGCCAUCCCCGAGUGUGAUCGGACGAAGAUGGAGUUGCACAUGCCACCGACUAAUUAAGGAGGCAAGCCUGUUUUGUAUGCUUCUAUUAUGUAUUCCCUUCAUUUGAAUUCCUUCCCCUUCUCGUUGUUGAUGUAACAAUGGCUGCCCCUGUCUUGUUAUUUCCGGGCAGUUCAAUAAAUUUCAUCCCCGUGUGCAUGUACUGUCAAAUCAUAUUGUUUGCUUUGAAUGAUCUCUUUCAAGUUUCAUUAUCGGCAAAUAAUAACAAUUUUAUGUUAUUUUUCUUUGAGAAA